RNAcentral lists this ribosomal RNA (450 nucleotides) under uncultured bacterium. RNAcentral describes it as "partial 16S ribosomal RNA". It matches the Rfam family "Bacterial small subunit ribosomal RNA", at positions 354 to 796 of the family's 1533-position model. The record is from RNAcentral.
GUGGGGAAUCUUCCGCAAUGGGCGAAAGCCUGACGGAGCAACGCCGCGUGAGUGAUGACGGCCUUCGGGUUGUAAAGCUCUGUUAUAUGGGACGAACGGGCAUGGGGCGAAUACCCCCAUGCAGUGACGGUACCGUAAGAGAAAGCCACGGCUAACUACGUGCCAGCAGCCGCGGUAAUACGUAGGUGGCAAGCGUUGUCCGGAAUUAUUGGGCGUAAAGGGCGCAUGGGCGGCCAGACAAGUCUGUGUUAAAAGUGCGGGGCUCAACCCCGUGAUGGGAUGGAACCUGUCUGGCUAGAGUGUCGGAGAGGAAAGCGGAAUUCCGUGUGUAGCGGUGAAAUGCGUAGAUAUUAGGAGGAACACCAGUGGCGAAAGCGGCUUUCUGGACGACAACUGACGCUGAGGCGCGAAAGCCAGGGGAGCAAACGGGAUUAGAAACCCGUGUAGUCC